Molecule: long non-coding RNA, 283 nt
Organism: Saccostrea echinata
Lineage: Eukaryota; Metazoa; Mollusca; Bivalvia; Ostreida; Ostreidae
Exons: 3
Source: RefSeq, a predicted model, not a curated record
UACAAUCUAGUUGUAUUUAAUCAUAUCCCUCCGUAAAAUUAAGAUCAGUCGGUAAUGUUUAAUGAACGUAAACUGACUAUCAUUUUGAUUAGGGCCGACAUGGAUGAAAGUUCUGAUACUGGAAUUGUACUUGGUUUGAUGGUACCAGUGGUUAUUCUAGUCACAGCUGUGAUUAUAUUUGUUCUGUACCGUCAAAACAAAUUGCCAGGAGUGUUUCGUUGUCGAAAUACAGCAACUGAUUUAGAAGAUAAGGAAGAGAACAUUCAGAUGAUUCCUGCAACAG